UACGUAGGUGGCAAGCGAUACUCGGAAUCACUGGGCGUAAAGCGCAGGUAGGCGGUUCGAUAAGUCUGUUGUGAAAGCUCCCGGCUUAACUGGGAGAGGUCAACGGAAACUGUCGGGCUAGAGUGUGGUAGAGGUAGCUGGAAUUCCCGGUGUAGCGGUGAAAUGCGCAGAUAUCAGGAAGAACACCCGUGGCGAAGGCGGCUCUCUGGGACGGUACUGACGCUGAGACGCGAAAGCGUGGGGAGCGAACAGG
Molecule: ribosomal RNA, 253 nt
Filed under: uncultured bacterium
Lineage: Bacteria
Description: partial 16S ribosomal RNA
Rfam family: Bacterial small subunit ribosomal RNA
Source: RNAcentral